Molecule: ribosomal RNA, 240 nt
Filed under: Triticum aestivum (bread wheat)
Lineage: Eukaryota; Viridiplantae; Streptophyta; Magnoliopsida; Poales; Poaceae
Description: partial small subunit ribosomal RNA
Source: RNAcentral
AUGGCAGAGCUUGGGCUGAAGGAAGAAGAUCUUGACGAUGUGAUCUUUGAUGAGGAAGCUGCGCCUCCACAGGGACCCAGAUGGAUUGCGCUGGCUAGGGUAAACACCUCCAAAUCAUAUAGUCAGACAUGGUUCUACAGAAACAUGCGAGCAGCAUGGAAUACAGCGCAGGAGGUCAAGUUCAAGCCCUUGGAAGAUAAUCUGUACUCAGUUCAACUGUCCUGUUUAGGAGAUUGGGAG